GGGGCAACCUGGCGGCGAGCGGCGAACGGGUGAGUAAUGCAUCGGAACAUGUCCAUUCGUGGGGGAUAGCCCGGCGAAAGCCGGAUUAAUACCGCAUACGCCCGAGAGGGGAAAGCCGGGGACCGCAAGGCCUGGCGCGAAUGGGUUGGCCGAUGCCCGAUUAGCUAGUUGGUGAGGUAAAGGCUCACCAAGGCGAUGAUCGGUAGCUGGUCUGAGAGGAUGAUCAGCCACACUGGGACUGAGACACGGCCCAGACUCCUACGGGAGGCAGCAGUGGGGAAUUUUGGACAAUGGGGGCAACCCUGAUCCAGCCAUUCCGCGUGAGUGAAGAAGGCCUUCGGGUUGUAAAGCUCUUUUGUCCGGAACGAAACGGGUAGCGUGAAUAUCGCUGCCUACUGACGGUACCGGAAGAAUAAGCACCGGCUAACUACGUGCCAGCAGCCGCGGUAAUACGUAGGGUGCGAGCGUUAAUCGGAAUUACUGGGCGUAAAGCGUGCGCAGGCGGUUUUGCAAGCCGGAUGUGAAAUCCCCGGGCUUAACCUGGGAAUGGCAUUUGGGACUGCAAGGCUGGAGUGCGGCAGAGGAGACUGGAAUUCCUGGUGUAGCAGUGAAAUGCGUAGAUAUCAGGAGGAACACCGAUGGCGAAGGCAGGUCUCUGGGCUGACACUGACGCUCAUGCACGAAAGCGUGGGGAGCAAACAGGAUUAGAUACCCUGGUAGUCCACGCCCUAAACGAUGUCGACUGGUUGUUGGGGGUUUGACACUCUCAGUAACGAAGCUAACGCGUGAAGUCGACCGCCUGGGGAGUACGGCCGCAAGGUUAAAACUC
This 829-nucleotide ribosomal RNA is filed under the name uncultured beta proteobacterium. RNAcentral's name for it is "bacterial SSU rRNA". It matches the Rfam family "Bacterial small subunit ribosomal RNA", at positions 76 to 902 of the family's 1533-position model. The record is from RNAcentral. Lineage: Bacteria; Pseudomonadati; Pseudomonadota; Betaproteobacteria.